CCUACGGGUGGCAGCAGUCGAGAAUCAUUCACAAUGGGGGAAACCCUGAUGGUGCGACGCCGCGUGGGGGAAUGAAGGUCUUCGGAUUGUAAACCCCUGUCAUGUGGGAGCAAAUUAAAAAGAUAGUACCACAAGAGGAAGAGACGGCUAACUCUGUGCCAGCAGCCGCGGUAAUACAGAGGUCUCAAGCGUUGUUCGGAAGCACUGGGCGUAAAGCGUGCGUAGGCUGUUUCGUAAGUCGUGUGUGAACGGCGAGGGCUCAACCCGCGGACGGCACAUGAUACUGCGAGGCUAGAGUAAUGGAGGGGGAACCGGAAUUCUCGGUGUAGCAGUGAAAUGCGUAGAUAUCGAGAGGAACACUCGUGGCGAAGGCGGGUUCCUGGACAUUAACUGACGCUGAGGCACGAAGGCCAGGGGAGCGAAAGGGAUUAGAUACCCCGGUAGUC
Molecule: ribosomal RNA, 446 nt
Filed under: uncultured bacterium
Lineage: Bacteria
Description: partial 16S ribosomal RNA
Rfam family: Bacterial small subunit ribosomal RNA
Source: RNAcentral